RNAcentral lists this long non-coding RNA (250 nucleotides) under Carica papaya (papaya). RNAcentral describes it as "long non-coding RNA (CPAP_LNC013062)". Lineage: Eukaryota; Viridiplantae; Streptophyta; Magnoliopsida; Brassicales; Caricaceae. The record is from RNAcentral.
GUUUAAGGAUUUGGACCAAGGAGUGCUAGAAGUUCUUUUCUUCCCUUUCUAAAAGACUAAAUUGACACAGUUACGAUAAAGGAUUCUUUUUUAUUUUUAUCUACAUUUUAUAAGUUCUCUUUUUAGUUAGUUAAUUUGGUAAAAUUGGAGAUUUAUUGAAAUAGAUUUCUAUACUUGUUUUGGUGAUUAAUUUUUUGAUAUAUGAGACCUUAUUCAUGAUGAAUGUAUUAUAAUGAUUUGGGAUACAUGU